AGGAGAGGUCGGAGCCAUCUCCACGAGCCCUUAGAGACCGAGUCCCUGGCAGCAGUGGCGGUGGCGGGGGGAGCGCACCGGCAGAUUCAUUCCACCACUUACAAGCUGAAAAUGGUAGGCCACGGGAAGUCUUACUGGUUUCAGGUAGAAACAACAGUUGAAGAUGUCCAGCAAAAAGGCAAGCACCAACAACAUCGCCCAGGCCAGAAGGACGGUGCAACAGUUGAGGAUGGAAGCCUCCAUCGAGAGAAUAAAGGUUUCAGAGGCGUCAGCGGACCUCAUGUCCUACUGUGAGGAGCACGCCAGAAGCGACCCUUUGCUGAUAGGGAUACUGACCUCAGAAAACCCUUUCAAGGAUAAAGAAACUUGCAUCAUCUUAUAGAGGAACAGUGAAAUGGCUCCUCGCCUCUUCUCAACAAAGCAAAUUAUGAGCAGCUCCUUGGAAGAAAUUUACCUUCAGCUUAUUUGGUAACCACUGCUAAUAAAGCUUAUACU
Non-coding RNA from Leptonychotes weddellii (Weddell seal), 495 nucleotides. NCBI's taxonomy places the organism in Eukaryota, Metazoa, Chordata, Mammalia, Carnivora, Phocidae. The record is from RefSeq and is a predicted model, not a curated record.